Molecule: ribosomal RNA, 951 nt
Filed under: Triticum aestivum (bread wheat)
Lineage: Eukaryota; Viridiplantae; Streptophyta; Magnoliopsida; Poales; Poaceae
Description: partial small subunit ribosomal RNA
Source: RNAcentral
AUGAAGACCUUUCUCAUCCUUGCCCUCGUGGCGACCACCGCCACAACUGCAGUUAGAGUUCCAGUGCCACAAUUGCAGCCAAAAAAUCCAUCUCAGCAACAGCCACAAGAGCAAGUUCCAUUGGUACAACAACAACAAUUUCCAGGGCAGCAACAACAAUUUCCACCACAACAGCCAUAUCCGCAGCCGCAACCAUUUCCAUCACAACAACCAUAUCUGCAGCUGCAACCAUUUCCGCAGCCGCAACCAUUUCUGCCACAACUACCAUAUCCGCAGCCGCAAUCAUUUCCACCACAACAACCAUAUCCACAACAGCGACCAAAGUAUCUACAACCACAACAACCAAUUUCGCAGCAACAAGCACAACAACAACAACAACAACAACAACAACAACAACAACAACAACAACAACAACAACAACAAAUCCUUCAACAAAUUUUGCAACAACAACUGAUUCCAUGCAGGGAUGUUGUCUUGCAACAACACAACAUAGCGCAUGCAAGCUCACAAGUUUUGCAACAAAGUACUUACCAGCUAUUGCAACAAUUGUGUUGUCAACAACUGUUGCAGAUCCCUGAGCAGUCGAGGUGCCAAGCCAUCCAUAAUGUUGUUCAUGCUAUUAUUAUGCAUCAACAAGAACAACAACAACAGUUGCAACAACAACAACAACAGCAACUGCAACAACAACAACAACAACAACAACAACAACAACAACCGUCAAGCCAGGUCUCCUUCCAACAGCCUCAGCAGCAAUAUCCAUCAAGCCAGGUCUCCUUCCAGCCAUCUCAGCUAAACCCACAAGCUCAGGGCUCCGUCCAACCUCAACAACUGCCCCAGUUCGCGGAAAUAAGGAACCUAGCGCUACAGACGCUACCUGCAAUGUGCAAUGUCUACAUCCCUCCACAUUGCUCGACCACCAUUGCGCCAUUUGGCAUCUUUGGUACCAACUGA